Molecule: ribosomal RNA, 1697 nt
Filed under: Triticum aestivum (bread wheat)
Lineage: Eukaryota; Viridiplantae; Streptophyta; Magnoliopsida; Poales; Poaceae
Description: partial small subunit ribosomal RNA
Source: RNAcentral
CUUUUUUCUUUUUUUUUCGAUCGGGUCGUGUCGUUGCGGUUGGUUGACGUUACUAAGAGGGGGUGAGGCGCGUGUUUGGGUUUUCGUCUAUUCCCUCUUCUUUCGGCGGUGGAUUAUUACAGGAUUAGGGGGGCUGGAGGAGGGCAGCUAGCUUUAAGGUUAAGGUUCCUCUCUCUUUUUUUCUCGCUGACUCUCGUUGCCACGCACGCACGCACGCUCGCUCCCUUGGGUCCGCUCCAUCGCCUAGGGGGCCUGCCCGCCCACCAAGAUCCCAAUCCCAAACGCCGUCGCCGCCGCCGCCGCCCCGACCCCUGGCACGCACGCGGAGGAAGCUGCCACUCGGCCUACGAUACGACGAUCCGACGCCCAGCGAGAGGAGCACCCACGCGGCGGAGCAGCGGACGCACCCUUUAACAAAACCUACACGCUUCAGAUGAGGAUAUUGUCGACAACUACUCGGAAGAUUUCCAAAUUCCUAAGUUCCCGCGAGCUAUUUUGUAGCAUCAAACAGACUUCUAAAAACCUCAUGUUCAGGUGCACUUUACCUCUUGUCACGGAACGUCAGUGUGGCAUCAUACAGAAGGUAGUCGUGUCGUCGUGUUAGAUCACUCGUCGUACCUCGACCUUCAUCGUCGUUGGGUUUACUCAAACAUUUAGUUCCAGAAGAUGAGACCUUGGUCUGAUCUGUCGUCACCCAACCUUUGUCUUCCGAAUUAAGAGUCGCAGUUUUCUGGGCCCUCGGUUUUUAUCCAACCUUACGAUGCAUACUCUCGGACGAUCCUUCGUGGUUCUGUAAACGUGUCGGCUAGGGAGAACCACUUUACCAUCUAAAGGAGCACCUGCCGACCCUCGUCCUCCCCGAUAUACUAAUCGACGAAUUAAUUUCGCACAACCAUAACAGACCCCAGAGCAACAAUUAGCGACCUUACAUGAGUUGAAACCAAAUAGUUUCGCACACCCACUACUUACACCUAAUAGGAGCACUGUCCUACCGUAGGGAAAAAGAAAAUUUCAUUUACAUUGUAUAAAAAUAGGAUGAUAAAAAAAAAUGUAAAUCGUAACACCAGAGGGGGACGGAUGAAAUACACAAAAAAAUGUAAAUAAAUCAUCGUCCUUUGUCAGAACCUGAGCUCUCAAACACUAGAAAAGAAUGCACCCUCAUUCCUUACCUUACCCUGAAGCCACGUCCUCCACAAGACCGGUUUACUACGCCUCCUCUAAAACUUCUAUUUUGAUGGGUUUGCCUUCCUCCUACACUGCCGAACCGUGAUGCUUAGUAGGUCCGUGAAGAAACAGACUUCACGCAUGUUCGACCGUAUUAUUAAACUUCGUCAGGCUACUUUUAGUCUGGCCUUCAUCAUAACGAGCCUUCCCGCUGUCCUUAUACACCUUGAACACACACCUUACAAUUUAGGGAUCGGAGACUAUUAGAGCGAUGUUUCGUCUUGUUUACCUUCUCCUUAAACCUUUCUCUACCAUCCACGUUAUAUACACCAUACCGCCUACUCUUACCAAAAGACGACACCGCUUUACAUGUUUACGGACCCGGAACGCUCUAGUCUACGCUCCCCACCCCUAGAAACCCUCCUUUCCCAAAAGUUUAUGUCAGUCAGAGACUAGGAGGAGCGGUUUUAGUUUGGCUUCAUCGCACCAAACCAGGAAAAUCAGAAAACCGUACCAACCAAGGAUGCUUUACU